Molecule: ribosomal RNA, 429 nt
Filed under: uncultured bacterium
Lineage: Bacteria
Description: bacterial SSU rRNA
Rfam family: Bacterial small subunit ribosomal RNA
Source: RNAcentral
GGCGGCGAGUGGCGAACGGGUGAGUAACACAUCGGAACGUGCCCAGUAAUGGGGGAUAACUAUCCGAAAGGAUAGCUAAUACCGCAUACGCCCCGAGGGGGAAAGUGGGGGACCAGCAAUGGCCUCACGGUUAUUGGAGCGGCCGAUGGCUGAUUAGCUAGUUGGUGAGGUAAAGGCUCACCAAGGCGACGAUCAGUAGCGGGUCUUAGAGGACGAUCCGCCACACUGGAACUGAGACACGGUCCAGACUCCUACGGGAGGCAGCAGUGGGGAAUCUUGGACAAUUGGGCGCAAGCCUGAUCCAGCAAUGCCGCGUGGGUGAAGAAGGCCUUCGGGUUGUAAAGCCCUUUUGUUUGGGAGCAAAUCCCUUGCUGUUAAUACCGGCUGGGGAUGAGAGUACCAAAAGAAUAAGCACCGGCUAACUACGUG